AUGGAACAGAUCCUUCUGGAUGCUUCACUACGGCACAUGGAAGACAGGAAGGUGAUACAGGAGAAACAGCACGGCUUCAACAAGGGCAAAUCCUGCUUGACCAGUUUAGUUGCCUUUUAUGAUAGUGUCAUUGUGUCAAUGGAUGAAGGAAGAGUCACUGGUAUCAUCUAUCUGGACUUCAGUAAAGCGUUUGACACAGUACCCCACAACAUCCUUCUCUCCAAAUUGGAAAGAUAUGGAUUUGAUGAGUGGAUUGUUCAAUGGAUAAAGAACUGGCUGCAGGAUGAAGCUCAGAGAGUGAUGUUUGAUUUUUCCAGGAAUAGUGGUCAUUUCUUCAGCAAAGCCCAAUUGCCAUUCAUAGCACACAUUCCUUUCAGCCUCAUCAGCCAUCCCAUGCACAGUGCAAAGUGCAAGCGUGCUUACUGUCAAUUGACAGGAAGAAAAAUGCUAUCACUAGGCCAGUGCCUGUUGUGGCAGAUUUGCAAAAUGGAAAUCUUCAAAGCCUUACAAGGCAUUAAAAUCAGUGGUAACAUGCUGAUGAUGAGAUGGAGACUGCUUUUCUCAAGAGAAACACUGCCCCUUUACUGGGAGCCAAACAGCAACCCAAGCAGAAAGUAUGAGUUAAGUGGGGAGCAGCACAGAACUCAGGGCUCAACCAGCAUGAAUGAGAUCUAACAAAUUCUGUGACAG
This 690-nucleotide long non-coding RNA is filed under the name Coturnix japonica (Japanese quail). RNAcentral describes it as "lncRNA (ENSCJPG00005020129.1)". The record is from RNAcentral. Lineage: Eukaryota; Metazoa; Chordata; Aves; Galliformes; Phasianidae.